RNAcentral lists this small RNA (146 nucleotides) under Pongo abelii (Sumatran orangutan). RNAcentral's name for it is "Metazoan signal recognition particle RNA (ENSPPYG00000034005.1)". The record is from Rfam by way of RNAcentral. Lineage: Eukaryota; Metazoa; Chordata; Mammalia; Primates; Hominidae.
GCUGGGCGUGGUGGUGCACGCCUGUAGUCCCAGCUACUUGGGAGGCUGAGGCAGGAGAAGCGCUUGAACCCAGGAGGCAGAGGUUGCAGUGAGCUGAGAUCGUGCCACUGCACUCCAGCCUGGGUAACAGAGCGACUCAGUCUCAA